This 620-nucleotide long non-coding RNA is filed under the name Lathyrus oleraceus (garden pea). RNAcentral describes it as "Pisum sativum (pea) long non-coding RNA (PSAT_LNC039890)". Lineage: Eukaryota; Viridiplantae; Streptophyta; Magnoliopsida; Fabales; Fabaceae. The record is from RNAcentral.
UGAAGUGCUCAGGUUCGAUUGAAUUUGCUUCUAACGCACGAAUUCUUCAAAAGCCAUGGAUGCACAUCACUUGGACAGUUGUGAAUUUGAGAUCCUUUGAUGAUGAAUAACCAAAACAGUCCAAGGAUGAGAUGAAUGAAGAUCGAAUCAAAAAGAAAUUUGCCAAAUGAUCAAGAAUUGGAAGAGAUUUUUGGAAUUUUGCUUGAUGUGUUCUUGAGAGAAUUUGGGAAAUUGGAGGGAAAAGAGGUUGUGAUUUCUUGUGAUUGAUGAUUCUGUUAGAAGUUUGUUAUGAUUAGGAAUAUAUAUCUCCAAUUAAUCAAGCCUUAAUCACCUUAAUUAGCAAAAUGAAAUAUGAUUAGCAAAAUGUCACUUUCAAAGGCAAGGGCAAAAUGGUAUUUUCAUAUGGGCUCUGUGACAGCUCAUUGCCAGCUCACACAUGCUCUAAAUAUCUGUCAUGAGCUGUUGCAACUUGUCCCAUCUUCAUUGGCCAUGUAAUUUUGAUUUUCACCAUGCCAUGGCACUUUGUUCAUUUUUCAAGUUCAUUUCAAAAGUGAAUUCUUCAACCAUUGCACCUUGACCUGUUAUGAUGAUUCAAACCAUUUCCAAAUAGCAUUUGUNNN